This 483-nucleotide ribosomal RNA is filed under the name uncultured bacterium. RNAcentral's name for it is "partial 16S ribosomal RNA". It matches the Rfam family "Bacterial small subunit ribosomal RNA", at positions 30 to 507 of the family's 1533-position model. The record is from RNAcentral.
UUGAACGCUGGCGGCAGGCCUAACACAUGCAAGUCGAGCGGAUGAAGGGAGCUUGCUCCUGGAUUCAGCGGCGGACGGGUGAGUAAUGCCUAGGAAUCUGCCUGGUAGGGGGGGAUAACGUCCGGAAACGGGCGCUAAUACCGCAUACGUCCUGAGGGAGAAAGUGGGGGAUCUUCGGACCUCACGCUAUCAGAUGAGCCUAGGUCGGAUUAGCUAGUUGGUGGGGUAAAGGCCUACCAAGGCGACGAUCCGUAACUGGUCUGAGAGGAUGAUCAGUCACACUGGAACUGAGACACGGUCCAGACUCCUACGGGAGGCAGCAGUGGGGAAUAUUGGACAAUGGGCGAAAGCCUGAUCCAGCCAUGCCGCGUGUGUGAAGAAGGUCUUCGGAUUGUAAAGCACUUUAAGUUGGGAGGAAGGGCAGUAAGUUAAUACCUUGCUGUUUUGACGUUACCAACAGAAUAAGCACCGGCUAACUUCGUG